AACACUGAGAGAUGUUAACUGACAGGUGGAUGGAUGGUGGUCAUCUCCCUGCUGCGAUGCUGUGCUGUCAUUGUGUCAGACGUGGCCAUCGGUAGAUGCCAUGUCUGCCUCCUGGCUGUGAUGUAUUGUAUGAUUACAAAUCAACAUCAAGGGAGAGGAAAAGAGAGGGAGAGAGAGAGAGAAUAAUCAAUGAGGAGAGAGAAUCAUUGAUGGGCUGCCUCACGUUGACCCUCUACGGGGGAUCGAGCUUUCAACCCAGGCAUGUGCCCUUAACUGGAAUCAAACCCAGGGCCCUUCAGUCCACAGGUUCACUUCCCAGACACUGAAAGAGCAGAAUGGCUAAAUAAGACUGUAAAACAUAUGUGGCCUUUCAUUUGCCAAUUUAUAGAGAAGUUGUUUCGAGAAACCAUAGAGCCAGCUGUGCGGGGAGCAAACACCCACCUUAGCACCUUUAGUUUCACGAGAGUCGACGUGGGUCAGCAGCCCCUCAGGAUCAAUGGUGUCAAGGUAUACACUGAAAAUGUGGACAAAAGACAAAUUAUUUUGGACCUUCAGAUUAGUUUUGUAGGAAAUUGUGAGAUUGAUUUGGAGAUCAAGCGAUAUUUUUGUAGAGCUGGUGUGCAAAGUAUACAGAUUCAUGGCACAAUGCGAGUGAUCCUGGAACCGCUGAUUGGAGACAUGCCCUUAGUGGGAGCCUUGUCUAUCUUCUUCCUGAGGAAGCCACUUUUAGAAAUCAACUGGACAGGACUGACUAACCUUCUGGAUAUCCCGGGACUGAAGUAAGUAUGAUGCCAUGUGCUGUGUCAGCUUGCUGAUGGCGAGACAUGCCUCUGGGCUCAAAUGCGCUGAUGCAGAGGGUCGUAGGACUUCAGACUACAUCACUCACCCUUCCGUUCACCUUUUGUUCAUCACAAAGCUGCCUUUCAGUAUAAGUGUUUCAGAGUAGUGGCAGCCUUCUAAUAUCCCACAAAUUAAUGUUUAAAUUUGGUUUUUCUUUUCCCAGAAAAAUAAAGACAACUUAAAAAGCGAA
This is an RNA transcript of Myotis lucifugus (little brown bat), 1030 nucleotides long. RefSeq lists it as uncharacterized. The transcript is spliced from 8 exons. Lineage: Eukaryota; Metazoa; Chordata; Mammalia; Chiroptera; Vespertilionidae. The record is from RefSeq and is a predicted model, not a curated record.